Molecule: ribosomal RNA, 315 nt
Filed under: uncultured eukaryote
Lineage: Eukaryota
Description: partial 18S ribosomal RNA
Rfam family: Eukaryotic small subunit ribosomal RNA
Source: RNAcentral
CCCUUAGAUGUUCUGGGCUGCACGCGCGCUACACUGACGCACGCAACAGGUGCCUGCUCCGAGAGGACUGGGUAAUCAUUUGAGUGUGCGUCGUGAUGGGGAUAGAAUUUUGUAAUUAUUACUCUUCAACGAGGAAUUCCUAGUAAGCGCCAGUCAGCAGCUUGCGCUGAUUACGUCCCUGCCCUUUGUACACACCGCCCGUCGCUCCUACCGAUGGGUGAUCCGGUGAAUGAUUCGGACUUCAGCGGCUCCCCUGGGGUGCGCCGGAGAAAGUUUUGUGAACCUUAUCACUUGGAGGAAGGAGAAGUCGUAACA